UGAAUACUCCCUCCGUCUGAAAAUACUUGUCGUAAAAAUGGAUACAAAUGGAUGUAUCUAGAACUAAAAUACAUCUAGAUACACCCAUUCCGCGGACAAGUAUUUCCGGAUGUAGGGAGUACAAA
Molecule: non-coding RNA, 125 nt
Organism: Triticum aestivum (bread wheat)
Lineage: Eukaryota; Viridiplantae; Streptophyta; Magnoliopsida; Poales; Poaceae
Source: Rfam